This 429-nucleotide ribosomal RNA is filed under the name uncultured bacterium. RNAcentral's name for it is "bacterial SSU rRNA". It matches the Rfam family "Bacterial small subunit ribosomal RNA", at positions 355 to 801 of the family's 1533-position model. The record is from RNAcentral.
UCGGGAAUUUUGGGCAAUGGGCGAAAGCCUGACCCAGCAACGCCGCGUGAAGGAUGAAGUAUUUCGGUAUGUAAACUUCGAAAGAAUAGGAAGAAUAAAUGACGGUACUAUUUAUAAGGUCCGGCUAACUACGUGCCAGCAGCCGCGGUAAUACGUAGGGACCAAGCGUUGUUCGGAUUUACUGGGCGUAAAGGGCGCGUAGGCGGCAAUUCAAGUCAUCUGUGAAAUCUCCGGGCUUAACCCAGAACGGCCAAGUGAUACUGUCGCGCUAGAGUGCAGAAGGGGCAAUCGGAAUUCUUGGUGUAGCGGUGAAAUGCGUAGAUAUCAAGAGGAACACCUGAGGUGAAGACGGGUUGCUGGGCUGACACUGACGCUGAGGCGCGAAAGCCAGGGGAGCAAACGGGAUUAGAUACCCACGUAGUCCCUGAG